RNAcentral lists this ribosomal RNA (691 nucleotides) under uncultured Lachnospiraceae bacterium. RNAcentral describes it as "bacterial SSU rRNA". It matches the Rfam family "Bacterial small subunit ribosomal RNA", at positions 66 to 755 of the family's 1533-position model. Lineage: Bacteria; Bacillati; Bacillota; Clostridia; Lachnospirales; Lachnospiraceae. The record is from RNAcentral.
ACGAAGCAUUUGCGACAGAUUUUUUCGGAAUGAAGUUGCUUAUGACUGAGUGGCGGACGGGUGAGUAACGCGUGGGUAACCUGCCUUGUACUGGGGGAUAGCAGCUGGAAACGGCUGGUAAUACCGCAUAAGCGCACAAUGUUGCAUGACAUGGUGUGAAAAACUCCGGUGGUAUAAGAUGGACCCGCGUCUGAUUAGCUAGUUGGUGAGAUAACAGCCCACCAAGGCGACGAUCAGUAGCCGACCUGAGAGGGUGACCGGCCACAUUGGGACUGAGACACGGCCCAGACUCCUACGGGAGGCAGCAGUGGGGAAUAUUGCACAAUGGAGGAAACUCUGAUGCAGCGACGCCGCGUGAGUGAAGAAGUAAUUCGUUAUGUAAAGCUCUAUCAGCAGGGAAGAUAGUGACGGUACCUGACUAAGAAGCUCCGGCUAAAUACGUGCCAGCAGCCGCGGUAAUACGUAUGGAGCAAGCGUUAUCCGGAUUUACUGGGUGUAAAGGGAGUGUAGGUGGCCAUGCAAGUCAGAAGUGAAAAUCCGGGGCUCAACCCCGGAACUGCUUUUGAAACUGUAAGGCUAGAGUGCAGGAGGGGUGAGUGGAAUUCCUAGUGUAGCGGUGAAAUGCGUAGAUAUUAGGAGGAACACCAGUGGCGAAGGCGGCUCACUGGACUGUAACUGACACUGAGGCUCG